GGGGGUGUAAUUCGGUGGUAGAACCCCUGCUUAGCAAGUAUGAGCCCCUGGGUUUAAUCCCCAGCAGCACCA
RNAcentral lists this transfer RNA (72 nucleotides) under Ictidomys tridecemlineatus (thirteen-lined ground squirrel). RNAcentral's name for it is "Spermophilus tridecemlineatus (thirteen-lined ground squirrel) tRNA". It matches the Rfam family "tRNA". From Rfam's summary of the family: Transfer RNA (tRNA) molecules are approximately 80 nucleotides in length. Their secondary structure includes four short double-helical elements and three loops (D, anti-codon, and T loops). Lineage: Eukaryota; Metazoa; Chordata; Mammalia; Rodentia; Sciuridae. The record is from Rfam by way of RNAcentral.